This 30-nucleotide non-coding RNA is filed under the name Erythranthe guttata (spotted monkey flower). Lineage: Eukaryota; Viridiplantae; Streptophyta; Magnoliopsida; Lamiales; Phrymaceae. The record is from RNAcentral.
AUUAAAAUUAGAACGUUCCGGAAUGUAAAA